This 924-nucleotide long non-coding RNA is filed under the name Homo sapiens (human). Its description in RNAcentral is "non-protein coding lnc-OR51A4-1:1". Lineage: Eukaryota; Metazoa; Chordata; Mammalia; Primates; Hominidae. The record is from RNAcentral.
AUGUCUCCUCUUAAUGACACAAAAAUGGAAGUCCUUAGAUUCCUCCUUAUCGGGAUCACUGGACUGGAGAAAAGUCGCACCUGGAUAUCCAUUCCUUUCUUAUCUGUGUACCUUCUUUCUUGGAUGGGUAAUUUUACCGUCCUCUUUUUUAUCAAGACAGAGCAAAGCCUCCAUGAACCUAUGUAUUAUUUGCUUUCCAUGCUCUCCAUCUCUGACCUAGGGCUGUCUCUGUCUUCCUUACCCAUCACUUUGGGACUAUUCCUAUUUGAUGUCCAUGAAAUUCAUGCAGCUCCAUGCUUUGCCUAGGAAUUUUUUAUCCAUCUGUUUACAGUCAGUGAAGCCUCUGUACUGUCUGUAAUGGCAUUUGACUGGUAUGUGGCAAUCCACAGUCCUUUGAGAUACAGCACUAUCUUAACUAGUCCCAGAGCCAUCAAAACAGGGGUUCUUCUGACUUCCAAGAAUGUUCUUUUGAUCCUUCCACUGCCCUUUCUCUUGCAAAGGCUGAGAUAUUGUCAUCAAAACCUGCUCUCCCACUCCUAUUGUCUCCACCAGGAUGUCAUGAAGCUGAUGUGUUCUGACAACACAGUCAAUGUUGUCUACGGACUCUGUGCAGGACUUUCUACUAUGCUGGACUUGGUGUUUAUUACCUUCUCCUAAAUUAUGAUUUUAAGGGCUGUACUGGGAAUUGCUACCCCCAGACAGCAGUUCAAGGCCCUCAACACGUGCAUCUCUCACAUCUGUGCUGUGCUUAUCUUCUAUGUGCCCACGCUGAGUGCUGCCAUGCUCCACCAGUUUGCCAGGGAUGUGUCUCCUAUGAUCCACGUCCUCAUGGCUGAUAUUUUUCUGCUGGUGCCACCCCUGUUGAAUCCCAUCGUGUACUGUGUGAAGACCCACCAAAUCCGAGAAAAGGUUGUGGGGAAACUU